AUCACCUGGGAAUCUUGUUAAAAUGCAGAUUUUGAUUCAGUAUGUUUGCGGUAGAGUCCCAGAUUCUGCUUUUCUAACAAGUUCCCAGGCAAUGCCAA
RNAcentral lists this microRNA precursor (98 nucleotides) under Loxodonta africana (African savanna elephant). RNAcentral's name for it is "mir-544 microRNA precursor family". It matches the Rfam family "mir-544 microRNA precursor family". Lineage: Eukaryota; Metazoa; Chordata; Mammalia; Proboscidea; Elephantidae. The record is from Rfam by way of RNAcentral.